Non-coding RNA from Bombyx mori (domestic silkworm), 84 nucleotides. NCBI's taxonomy places the organism in Eukaryota, Metazoa, Arthropoda, Insecta, Lepidoptera, Bombycidae. The record is from Rfam.
UUAGCUCACAUUUGUAUGGAAUGGGAUCGUAUGCCUACGUUUGCCGCUAGGGGCGCUGUUCCAACUGCAUACAAAGUUGGGUUA